GUAUCACGCUGAGACAUCGGUUCCCGUAAGAUUCACCGAAGUUAAGCGACGUCGAGCCUGGCUAGUACAUACAUGGGUGACAGUUUGGGAAAACCAGGUACUGUAAG
This is a non-coding RNA of Acanthosepion pharaonis, 107 nucleotides long. Lineage: Eukaryota; Metazoa; Mollusca; Cephalopoda; Sepiida; Sepiidae. The record is from the annotation of a GenBank genome assembly.